GAUCAAGGGCCUGAGAAAGAAGUUUAUUCAAAGGAUGUUUAGAAAGGCGAGGAAGAGGCGUGUCUCUGAGGAAGACUCUAACUGAAACAUCAGCUUUUCCUGUGUCUCAAGCCUGCCAGCGUUCUGACUGGGUCUCUUGCUUGCCAACUGAAGAUCUUGAAUCUUGCCAGCCUUCAUAAUCAUGCACGCUGUUGAGGGCUUUGCAAUGGAUCUUCACAACUCUCCAAGGUGGGUACUCUGAUCCCUCAUUUAUGAGGACACCUAUGUUCAGGGAGGCCCUCUCGUUAGGAGAGUAGGAAUUAUUAAAUUAUAGCUAGCAUUCACUGAGUCUC
Non-coding RNA from Miniopterus natalensis, 332 nucleotides. Lineage: Eukaryota; Metazoa; Chordata; Mammalia; Chiroptera; Miniopteridae. The record is from RefSeq and is a predicted model, not a curated record.